Molecule: non-coding RNA, 61 nt
Organism: Pristionchus pacificus
Lineage: Eukaryota; Metazoa; Nematoda; Chromadorea; Rhabditida; Neodiplogasteridae
Source: Rfam
UCUUCAUUUUCCAUACUCUCUCACCGGUCAGAGAGGCGAGAGAGUGUGUGAAAUGAAGAGA